AGAGUUUGAUCCUGGCUCAGGAUGAACGCUAGCGGCAGGCUUAAUACAUGCAAGUCGAGGGGCAGCAGGUCUGUAGCAAUACAGAUGCUGGCGACCGGCAAACGGGUGCGGAACACGUACACAACCUUCCUUCGAGCGGGGAAUAGCCCAGAGAAAUUUGGAUUAAUACCCCAUAGUAUAUUGGUUAGGCAUCUAACUAUUAUUAAAGAUUUAUCACUUGAAGAUGGGUGUGCGGCUGAUUAGAUAGUUGGCGGGGUAACGGCCCACCAAGUCUGCGAUCAGUAACUGGUGUGAGAGCACGACCAGUCACACGGGCACUGAGACACGGGCCCGACUCCUACGGGAGGCAGCAGUAAGGAAUAUUGGUCAAUGGACGCAAGUCUGAACCAGCCAUGCCGCGUGGAGGAUGAAGGUCCUCUGGAUUGUAAACUUCUUUUAUCUGGGACGAAAAAGGGCCUUUCUAGGUCAACUGACGGUACCAGAUGAAUAAGCACCGGCUAACUCCGUGCCAGCAGCCGCGGUAAUACGGAGGGUGCAAGCGUUAUCCGGAUUCACUGGGUUUAAAGGGUGCGUAGGUGGGUUGGUAAGUCAGUGGUGAAAUCUCCGAGCUUAACUUGGAAACUGCCAUUGAUACUAUCAGUCUUGAAUAUUGUGGAGGUUAGCGGAAUAUGUCAUGUAGCGGUGAAAUGCUUAGAUAUGACAUAGAACACCAAUUGCGAAGGCAGCUGGCUACGCAUAUAUUGACACUGAGGCACGAAAGCGUGGGGAUCAAACAGGAUUAGAUACCCCAGUAGUCC
RNAcentral lists this ribosomal RNA (797 nucleotides) under uncultured bacterium. RNAcentral's name for it is "bacterial SSU rRNA". It matches the Rfam family "Bacterial small subunit ribosomal RNA", at positions 8 to 796 of the family's 1533-position model. The record is from RNAcentral.